This 768-nucleotide ribosomal RNA is filed under the name uncultured bacterium. Its description in RNAcentral is "bacterial SSU rRNA". It matches the Rfam family "Bacterial small subunit ribosomal RNA", at positions 9 to 755 of the family's 1533-position model. The record is from RNAcentral.
GAGUUUGAUCAUGGCUCAGAAUGAACGCUGGCGGCGUGCUUAACACAUGCAAGUCGAGCGAGGCCAGGGGGGCAACUCCCUGAGUCGAGCGGCGGACGGGUGAGUAACACGUGGGUAACCUACCCGGAAGUGGGGAAUACCUCGGGGAAACUCGAGCUAAUACCGCAUAACAUCUUUGGGACGAAAGUUCCGACGAUCAAAGCGGGGUCGCAAGAUCUCGCGCUACCGGAUGGGCCCGCGCCCGAUUAGCUAGUUGGUGAGGUAACGGCUCACCAAGGCGACGAUCGGUAACCGGCCUGAGAGGGCGAUCGGUCACACCGGAACUGAGACACGGUCCGGACUCCUACGGGAGGCAGCAGUGGGGAAUCUUGCGCAAUGGGCGAGAGCCUGACGCAGCAACGCCGCGUGGAGGAUGAAGGCCCUUGGGUUGUAAACUCCUGUCGGCUGGGAAGAAGUUGUUCGCGACUAAUACUCGCGGACAUUGACUGUACCAGCAAAGGAAGCCCCGGCUAACUCUGUGCCAGCAGCCGCGGUAAUACAGAGGGGGCCAGCGUUAUUCGGAAUUAUUGGGCGUAAAGGGCGCGUAGGCGGCCAUGCGUGUCUCCCGUGAAAUCCCUCGGCUCAACCGAGGACGUGCGGAAGAAACUGCAAGGCUCGAGUCCGGAAGAGGGGGGCGGAAUUCCCAGUGUAGCGGUGAAAUGCGUAGAUAUUGGGAGGAACACCAGUGGCGAAGGCGGUCCCCUGGGCCGGAACUGACGCUGAGGCGCG